This 253-nucleotide ribosomal RNA is filed under the name uncultured bacterium. Its description in RNAcentral is "partial 16S ribosomal RNA". It matches the Rfam family "Bacterial small subunit ribosomal RNA", at positions 524 to 776 of the family's 1533-position model. The record is from RNAcentral.
GACGAACCGUGCGAACGUUGUUCGGAAUCACUGGGCUUAAAGGGCGCGUAGGCGGCAGACCAAGUCCGGGGUGAAAGCCCCCAGCUCAACUGGGGAAGUGCCUUGGAUACUGGUUUGCUGGAGGGAGGUAGGGGUCGAGGGAACUUCUGGUGGAGCGGUGAAAUGCGCAGAUAUCAGGAGGAACACCAGCGGCGAAGGCGGCGCUCUGGGCUGGAACUGACGCUGAGGAGCGAAAGCGUGGGGAGCGAACAGG